RNAcentral lists this ribosomal RNA (495 nucleotides) under uncultured bacterium. RNAcentral describes it as "partial 16S ribosomal RNA". It matches the Rfam family "Bacterial small subunit ribosomal RNA", at positions 28 to 507 of the family's 1533-position model. The record is from RNAcentral.
GAUGAACGCUGGCGGCGUGCCUAAUACAUGCAAGUCGAGCGAACAGACGAGGAGCUUGCUCCUCUGACGUUAGCGGCGGACGGGUGAGUAACACGUGGAUAACCUACCUAUAAGACUGGGAUAACUUCGGGAAACCGGAGCUAAUACCGGAUAAUAUAUUGAACCGCAUGGUUCAAUAGUGAAAGACGGUUUUGCUGUCACUUAUAGAUGGAUCCGCGCCGCAUUAGCUUGUUGGUAAGGUAACGGCUUACCAAGGCAACGAUGCGUAGCCUACCUGAGAGGGUGGGCGGACACACGGGGGAUGAGACGCGGGAGAGACGCCUAGGAGAGGCAGCAGUGGGGAAUAGUGCACAAUGGGCGGAAGCGUAAUGCAGGGACGCCGCGGGAGAGAUGGAGGCCUGCGGCGUGUGAACCUCUUACGACAGUGAAGAAGGUCCGGCUCUUUGUGGUGGGGUUGACGGUAGCUGGGGUAAUGAAGCGCCGGCUAACUACGUG